UGGAUGAAACAGGGGUGCCGUACGGAUGGGCCGUGCGGCUGAGAGAGUCCCUUCGAACCCGAUCCGGCUAGUACCGGCGUGGGAAGUUUCACAAGACCAAGU
Molecule: regulatory RNA element, 102 nt
Rfam family: TPP riboswitch aptamer (THI element)
About the family: Vitamin B(1) in its active form thiamin pyrophosphate (TPP) is an essential coenzyme that is synthesised by coupling of pyrimidine and thiazole moieties in bacteria. The previously detected thiamin-regulatory element, thi box was extended, resulting in a new, highly conserved RNA secondary structure, the THI element, which is widely distributed in eubacteria and also occurs in some archaea.
Source: Rfam